Molecule: ribosomal RNA, 802 nt
Filed under: Streptomyces sp.
Lineage: Bacteria; Bacillati; Actinomycetota; Actinomycetes; Kitasatosporales; Streptomycetaceae
Description: bacterial SSU rRNA
Rfam family: Bacterial small subunit ribosomal RNA
Source: RNAcentral
CGAUGAACCAGCUUCGGUGGGGAUUAGUGGCGAACGGGUGAGUAACACGUGGGCAAUCUGCCCUUCACUCUGGGACAAGCCCUGGAAACGGGGUCUAAUACCGGAUACCACUCUCACAGGCAUCUGUGGGGGUUGAAAGCUCCGGCGGUGAAGGAUGAGCCCGCGGCCUAUCAGCUUGUUGGUGAGGUAACGGCUCACCAAGGCGACGACGGGUAGCCGGCCUGAGAGGGCGACCGGCCACACUGGGACUGAGACACGGCCCAGACUCCUACGGGAGGCAGCAGUGGGGAAUAUUGCACAAUGGGCGAAAGCCUGAUGCAGCGACGCCGCGUGAGGGAUGACGGCCUUCGGGUUGUAAACCUCUUUCAGCAGGGAAGAAGCGAAAGUGACGGUACCUGCAGAAGAAGCGCCGGCUAACUACGUGCCAGCAGCCGCGGUAAUACGUAGGGCGCAAGCGUUGUCCGGAAUUAUUGGGCGUAAAGAGCUCGUAGGCGGCUUGUCACGUCGGGUGUGAAAGCCCGGGGCUUAACCCCGGGUCUGCAUUCGAUACGGGCUAGCUAGAGUGUGGUAGGGGAGAUCGGAAUUCCUGGUGUAGCGGUGAAAUGCGCAGAUAUCAGGAGGAACACCGGUGGCGAAGGCGGAUCUCUGGGCCAUUACUGACGCUGAGGAGCGAAAGCGUGGGGAGCGAACAGGAUUAGAUACCCUGGUAGUCCACGCCGUAAACGGUGGGAACUAGGUGUUGGCGACAUUCCACGUCGUCGGUGCCGCAGCUAACGCAUUAAGUUCCCCGCCUGGGGAGUAC